CAGGAAACUAUAUGAACCAUAUAUCGUCUCACAUAAUCAAAUGAACGAUGCUGAUAAACUUGUGCACUGUUGUUCUCAUUAUGAUCCAUGGUGUGGAAAGUUUGAAAUUAGAACAAACUCAAAAGGUCUUGGUGAAGCAAAUAGGUAAAAGUGUGUCCUUUGAAUGUAAGGUAACAGGCUUGGGCACUGGUGGUUAUGUCCACUGGUACCAUAAAGAAAAUGAAGGAACAUUUAAAAGAAUACUGUACAUGAGCGCAUCCGGGAUUGCUACAAGUGAAGCAACAGAAUUUUCCGCUGAAAAAAAGGGAGAUUCAUAUAACAUAAAGCUCCAUA
Long non-coding RNA from Carassius auratus (goldfish), 333 nucleotides. RefSeq lists it as uncharacterized. The transcript has 2 exons. The record is from RefSeq and is a predicted model, not a curated record. Lineage: Eukaryota; Metazoa; Chordata; Actinopteri; Cypriniformes; Cyprinidae.